Molecule: transfer RNA, 67 nt
Filed under: Sus celebensis (Celebes wild boar)
Lineage: Eukaryota; Metazoa; Chordata; Mammalia; Artiodactyla; Suidae
Description: tRNA-Cys
Source: RNAcentral
AACCCUGUGAUGAAUCAACAAAUUGAAUUGCAAAUUCAAAGAAGCAGCUUCAAUUCUGCCGGGACUU